Molecule: transfer RNA, 86 nt
Filed under: Nannocystis exedens
Lineage: Bacteria; Pseudomonadati; Myxococcota; Nannocystales; Nannocystaceae
Description: tRNA-Gly
Source: RNAcentral
UCGGCGUAGGCGACGGCGAGGACGCUGCCGACGAUGCCGUCGGCGAGCGGCUCCCACGCGUCGCCGUUCCAGUGGGCGACGCCGCC